UAGCCAAUGGUGCUAAUGAGUUACCAAAAAUACCAUCUUUGAGGACUGAAUGGCUUUAUUAUUGUUAUUUUAUGCCCUGCUCUUAUUCUUCAAUUCUGAGGCUU
Arachis stenosperma is the source of this 104-nucleotide small nucleolar RNA. RefSeq annotates it as small nucleolar RNA SNORD96 family. NCBI's taxonomy places the organism in Eukaryota, Viridiplantae, Streptophyta, Magnoliopsida, Fabales, Fabaceae. The transcript has a single exon. The record is from RefSeq and is a predicted model, not a curated record.